This 1442-nucleotide ribosomal RNA is filed under the name uncultured organism. RNAcentral's name for it is "16S ribosomal RNA". It matches the Rfam family "Bacterial small subunit ribosomal RNA". The record is from RNAcentral.
GGAUGAACGCUAGCUACAGGCUUAACACAUGCAAGUCGAGGGGCAGCAUGGUCUUAGCUUGCUAAGGCCGAUGGCGACCGGCGCACGGGUGAGUAACACGUAUCCAACCUGCCGUCUACUCUUGGACAGCCUUCUGAAAGGAAGAUUAAUACAAGAUGGCAUCAUGAGUCCGCAUGUUCACAUGAUUAAAGGUAUUCCGGUAGACGAUGGGGAUGCGUUCCAUUAGAUAGUAGGCGGGGUAACGGCCCACCUAGUCUUCGAUGGAUAGGGGUUCUGAGAGGAAGGUCCCCCACAUUGGAACUGAGACACGGUCCAAACUCCUACGGGAGGCAGCAGUGAGGAAUAUUGGUCAAUGGGCGAGAGCCUGAACCAGCCAAGUAGCGUGAAGGAUGACUGCCCUAUGGGUUGUAAACUUCUUUUAUAAAGGAAUAAAGUCGGGUAUGCAUACCCGUUUGCAUGUACUUUAUGAAUAAGGAUCGGCUAACUCCGUGCCAGCAGCCGCGGUAAUACGGAGGAUCCGAGCGUUAUCCGGAUUUAUUGGGUUUAAAGGGAGCGUAGAUGGAUGUUUAAGUCAGUUGUGAAAGUUUGCGGCUCAACCGUAAAAUUGCAGUUGAUACUGGAUAUCUUGAGUGCAGUUGAGGCAGGCGGAAUUCGUGGUGUAGCGGUGAAAUGCUUAGAUAUCACGAAGAACUCCGAUUGCGAAGGCAGCCUGCUAAGCUGCAACUGACAUUGAGGCUCGAAAGUGUGGGUAUCAAACAGGAUUAGAUACCCUGGUAGUCCACACGGUAAACGAUGAAUACUCGCUGUUUGCGAUAUACAGCAAGCGGCCAAGCGAAAGCGUUAAGUAUUCCACCUGGGGAGUACGCCGGCAACGGUGAAACUCAAAGGAAUUGACGGGGGCCCGCACAAGCGGAGGAACAUGUGGUUUAAUUCGAUGAUACGCGAGGAACCUUACCCGGGCUUAAAUUGCAGAUGAAUUACGGUGAAAGCCGUAAGCCGCAAGGCAUCUGUGAAGGUGCUGCAUGGUUGUCGUCAGCUCGUGCCGUGAGGUGUCGGCUUAAGUGCCAUAACGAGCGCAACCCUUGUUGUCAGUUACUAACAGGUUCCGCUGAGGACUCUGACAAGACUGCCAUCGUAAGAUGUGAGGAAGGUGGGGAUGACGUCAAAUCAGCACGGCCCUUACGUCCGGGGCUACACACGUGUUACAAUGGGGGGGUACAGAGGGCCGCUACCACGCGAGUGGAUGCCAAUCCCAAAAACCUCUCUCAGUUCGGACUGGAGUCUGCAACCCGACUCCACGAAGCUGGAUUCGCUAGUAAUCGCGCAUCAGCCACGGCGCGGUGAAUACGUUCCCGGGCCUUGUACACACCGCCCGUCAAGCCAUGGGAGCCGGGGGUACCUGAAGUGCGUAACCGCGAGGAGCGCCCUAGGGUAAAACUGGU